GACGAACGCUGGCGGCAUGCCUAAUACAUGCAAGUCGAGCGGACUUGAUGAGAAGCUUGCUUCUCAGAUAGUUAGCGGCGGACGGGUGAGUAACACGUAGGCAACCUGCCCUCAAGCUUGGGACAACUACCGGAAACGGUAGCUAAUACCGAAUACUUGUUUUCUUCGCCUGAAGGAAACUGGAAAGACGGAGCAAUCUGUCACUUGGGGAUGGGCCUGCGGCGCAUUAGCUAGUUGGUGAGGUAACGGCUCACCAAAGCGACGAUGCGUAGCCGACCUGAGAGGGUGAUCGGCCACACUGGGACUGAGACACGGCCCAGACUCCUACGGGAGGCAGCAGUAGGGAAUCUUCCGCAAUGGGCGAAAGCCUGACGGAGCAAUGCCGCGUGAGUGAUGAAGGUUUUCGGAUCGUAAAGCUCUGUUGCCAGGGAAGAACGCUUGGGAGAGUAACUGCUCCCAAGGUGACGGUACCUGAGAAGAAAGCCCCGGCUAACUACGUGCCAGCAGCCGCCGUAA
This 516-nucleotide ribosomal RNA is filed under the name uncultured bacterium. Its description in RNAcentral is "partial 16S ribosomal RNA". It matches the Rfam family "Bacterial small subunit ribosomal RNA", at positions 28 to 523 of the family's 1533-position model. The record is from RNAcentral.